Molecule: ribosomal RNA, 773 nt
Filed under: uncultured archaeon
Lineage: Archaea
Description: bacterial SSU rRNA
Rfam family: Archaeal small subunit ribosomal RNA
Source: RNAcentral
UCUGGACGCACCAUAACCUCGGGAAACUGAGGCUAAUAGUGCAUACCGCUCGACGCCUGGAACUGGCUCGAGCCAGAAACGCCCCGGCGCCAGAGGAUGUGGCUGCGGCCGAUUAGGUAGACGGUGGGGUAACGGCCCACCGUGCCAAUAAUCGGUACGGGUUGUGAGAGCAAGAGCCCGGAGACGGUAUCUGAGACAAGAUACCGGGCCCUACGGGGCGCAGCAGGCGCGAAACCUUUACACUGCACGCCAGUGCGAUAAGGGGACUCCAAGUGCGAGGGCAUAACGUCCUCGCUUUUCGUGACCGUAAGGUGGUCACAGAAUAAGGGCUGGGCAAGACCGGUGCCAGCCGCCGCGGUAAUACCGGCAGCCCAAGUGAUGGCCGCUCUUAUUGGGCCUAAAGCGUCCGUAGCUGGCCGCGCAAGUCCAUCGGGAAAUCCGCACGCCUAACGUGCGGGCGUCCGGUGGAAACUGCGUGGCUUGGGACCGGAAGAUCCAGAGGGUACGUCCGGGGUAGGAGUGAAAUCCUGUAAUCCUGGACGGACCACCGGUGGCGAAAGCGCUCUGGAAAGACGGAUCCGACGGUGAGGGACGAAAGCUCGGGUCACGAACCGGAUUAGAUACCCGGGUAGUCCGAGCUGUAAACGAUGUCUGCUAGGUGUGCCACAGGCUACGAGCCUGUGGUGUGCCGUAGGGAAGCCGUGAAGCAGACCGCCUGGGAAGUACGUCCGCAAGGAUGAAACUUAAAGGAAUUGGCGGGGGAGCACAAUCGA